Molecule: ribosomal RNA, 253 nt
Filed under: uncultured bacterium
Lineage: Bacteria
Description: partial 16S ribosomal RNA
Rfam family: Bacterial small subunit ribosomal RNA
Source: RNAcentral
UACAGAGGUCUCCAGCGUUGUUCGGAUUCAUUGGGCGUAACGGGUGCGUAGGCGGCGCGGUAAGUCGGGUGUGAAAUCUUGGAGCUUAACUCCGAAACUGCAUUCGAUACUGCCGUGCUUGAGGACUGGAGAGGAGACUGGAAUUUACGGUGUAGCGGUGAAAUGCGUAGAUAUCGUAAGGAAGACCAGUGGCGAAGGCGGGUCUCUGGACAGUUCCUGACGCUGAGGCACGAAGGCCAGGGGAGUAAACGGG